AAAUAAGAAGUAAAAUUUACAUUUAGUUUCGACCUAAAACCUUGGUGAAAAAUCACCCUUAUUUA
Molecule: transfer RNA, 65 nt
Filed under: Copelatus sp. MJTNT-2012
Lineage: Eukaryota; Metazoa; Arthropoda; Insecta; Coleoptera; Dytiscidae
Description: tRNA-Arg
Source: RNAcentral